Molecule: long non-coding RNA, 497 nt
Organism: Oncorhynchus keta (chum salmon)
Lineage: Eukaryota; Metazoa; Chordata; Actinopteri; Salmoniformes; Salmonidae
Exons: 3
Source: RefSeq, a predicted model, not a curated record
CAGUCAAAGGGACGGUAAUGCGUGGUCGAAGAACAGUCAAAGGGACGGUAAUGGGUGGUCUAAGAACAGUCAAAGGGACGGUAAUGGGUGGUCUAAGAACAGUCAAAGGGACAGUAAUGGGUGGUCGAAGAACAGUCAAAGGGACGGUAAUGGGUGGUCGAAGAACAGUCAAAGGGACGGUAAUGGGUGGUCGAAGAACAGUCAAAGGGACGGUAAUGGGUGGUCGAAGAACAGUCAAAGGGACGGUAAUGGGUGGUCGAAGAACAGUCAAAGGGACGGUAAUGGGUGGUCUAAGAACAGUCAAAGGGAAGGUAAUGGGUGGUCGAAGAACAGUCAAAGGGAAGGUAAUGGGUGGUCGAAGAACAGUCAAAGGGAAGGUAAUGGGUGGUCGAAGAACAGUCAAAGGGACGGUAAUGGGUGGUCUAAGUAUUUUACCUCGAUACUGUAGUUUGUGUAUUGACAUUGUCCUUGUCUAUUAAUGUUCUGUAUUAUGUCAU